This 424-nucleotide ribosomal RNA is filed under the name Fusobacteriota bacterium. Its description in RNAcentral is "Fusobacteria bacterium partial 16S ribosomal RNA". It matches the Rfam family "Bacterial small subunit ribosomal RNA", at positions 355 to 776 of the family's 1533-position model. Lineage: Bacteria; Fusobacteriati; Fusobacteriota. The record is from RNAcentral.
UGAGGAAUAUUGGUCAAUGGGCGAGAGCCUGAACCAGCCAAGUAGCGUGCAGGAUGACGGCCCUAUGGGUUGUAAACUGCUUUUAUGUGGGGAUAAAGUGCGUGACGUGUCAUGCAUUGCAGGUACCCCAUGAAUAAGGACCGGCUAAUUCCGUGCCAGCAGCCGCGGUAAUACGGAAGGUCCGGGCGUUAUCCGGAUUUAUUGGGUUUAAAGGGAGCGUAGGCUGUCUAUUAAGCGUGUUGUGAAAUUUACCGGCUCAACCGGUGGCUUGCAGCGCGAACUGGUCGACUUGAGUAUGCAGGAAGUAGGCGGAAUUCAUGGUGUAGCGGUGAAAUGCUUAGAUAUCAUGACGAACUCCGAUUGCGCAGGCAGCUUACUGUAGCAUAACUGACGCUGAUGCUCGAAAGUGCGGGUAUCAAACAGG